This 436-nucleotide ribosomal RNA is filed under the name uncultured soil bacterium. RNAcentral describes it as "bacterial SSU rRNA". It matches the Rfam family "Bacterial small subunit ribosomal RNA", at positions 59 to 503 of the family's 1533-position model. The record is from RNAcentral.
AAGUCGAGCGCCUUUGUAGCAAUACAGAGGAGCGGCGAACGGGUGAGUAACACGUGAGUAAUCUGCCGAAAAGUUGGGGAUAGCCUUCCGAAAGGAAGAUUAAUACCGGAUGUGGCCAGGGAUUGCAUAUUCCUGAAGCUAAAGCCGAAAGGCGCUUUUUGAGGAGCUCGCGACCUAUCAGUUAGUUGGCGGGGUAACGGCCCACCAAGACUUCGACGGGUAGCUGGUCUGAGAGGAUGGUCAGCCACACUGGAACUGAGACACGGUCCAGACACCUACGGGUGGCAGCAGUCGAGAAUCAUUCGCAAUGGGCGAAAGCCUGACGGUGCGACGCCGCGUGAAGGAAGAAGGCCCUCGGGUCGUAAACUUCUGUCAAGAGAGAGUAACGCUAUGCAAAUAGCUUGAGAGUAUCUCUAGAGGAAGGGGCGGCUAACUC